CACGUAGGGUGCGAGCGUUGUCCGGAAUUAUUGGGCGUAAAGAGCUCGUAGGCGGUGUGUCGCGUCGGCCGUGAAAACCUGCAGCUUAACUGUGGGCCUGCGGUCGAUACGGGCAUCACUGGAGUUCGGCAGGGGAGACUGGAAUUCUGGUGUAGCGGUGAAAUGCGCAGAUAUCAGGAGGAACACCGGUGGCGAAGGCGGGUCUCUGGGCCGAUACUGACGCUGAGGAGCGAAAGCGUGGGGAGCGAACAGG
RNAcentral lists this ribosomal RNA (253 nucleotides) under uncultured bacterium. RNAcentral describes it as "partial 16S ribosomal RNA". It matches the Rfam family "Bacterial small subunit ribosomal RNA", at positions 524 to 776 of the family's 1533-position model. The record is from RNAcentral.